ACACUUAAAUAUUUAUGGUGGUGUCACAAAAUCGGAGGCCCCGACUGUUUACUAAAAACACAAUUCAGACCAAUGAUGUAAAUCAUAGUAUUCUGGAUGAAAUUUGCCCAAUGCCAUUAACAUAAAAGAGGUAAUGGGAAACUGUUACUAAUUGAAAGUCUGGUUAAUAGCGGUCUUAACUAUGAGGAUCCUAAGGUAGCAAAAUCAGUUGGCCAUUAAAUGUGGUCUGGUAUCAAUAGUGUAACGAUGGUCUCACUGUCUCUACAACUUGCUCAGUGAAAUUGAAUUAUCCGUGCAGAUGCGGAUUGCCUCCAAGUGGACGGGAAGACCCUAUGCAGCUUCUACUGA
RNAcentral lists this ribosomal RNA (348 nucleotides) under uncultured fungus. RNAcentral's name for it is "LSU rRNA". It matches the Rfam family "Bacterial large subunit ribosomal RNA", at positions 1756 to 2107 of the family's 2925-position model. Lineage: Eukaryota; Fungi. The record is from RNAcentral.